Caenorhabditis brenneri is the source of this 72-nucleotide non-coding RNA. The record is from the annotation of a GenBank genome assembly. Lineage: Eukaryota; Metazoa; Nematoda; Chromadorea; Rhabditida; Rhabditidae.
GCCCCCGUGGCCUAGUGGAUAGCACUGCUGAUUUUGAAGUUUCGAUCGCGGGUUCGAACCCCACCGGGGUCA